UUCGCAAUGCCCGAAAGGGUGACGAAGCGACGCCGCGUGAGCGAAGAAGGCCCUAGGGUUGUAAAGCUCUGUCGAGGGUUAUGAAAUAUAGAUGGGUUAAUACCCCAUUUAUUUGACAAAAGCCCAAAAGGAAGCCACGGCUAACUCUGUGCCAGCAGCCGCGGUAAUACAGAGGUGGCGAGCGUUGUUCGGUAUUAUUGGGCGUAAAGAGCACGUAGGUGGUUUUGUAAGUCAGGUGUGAAAGCCUUCUGUUCAAAGGAAGAACGGCAUCUGAAACUACAGAUCUUGAGUGUAGGAGGGGAGAGUGGAACUUCUGGUGGAGCGGUGAAAUGCGUAGAUAUCAGAAGGAACGUCGGCGGCGAAAGCGACUCUCUGGCCUAUUACUGACACUCAGUGUGCGAAAGUUAGGGGAGCAAACGGGAUUAGAUACCCCGGUAGUCCUAGCCGUAAACGAUGGGCACUAAGUAGAGGGGUUUU
This 477-nucleotide ribosomal RNA is filed under the name uncultured anaerobic ammonium-oxidizing bacterium. RNAcentral's name for it is "bacterial SSU rRNA". It matches the Rfam family "Bacterial small subunit ribosomal RNA", at positions 365 to 832 of the family's 1533-position model. The record is from RNAcentral.